This 538-nucleotide ribosomal RNA is filed under the name uncultured bacterium. RNAcentral's name for it is "bacterial SSU rRNA". It matches the Rfam family "Bacterial small subunit ribosomal RNA", at positions 773 to 1317 of the family's 1533-position model. The record is from RNAcentral.
AGCGAAUAGAUACCCCGGUAGUCCUGGCCGUAAACGAUGACCACUCACUAUGGGAGGGAUCGACCCCUUCCGUGCUGGAGCUAAACGCAGUAAGUGGUCCGCCUGAGGAGUACGGUCGCAAGACUAAAACUACAAAGGAAUUGACGGGGACCCGGCACAAGCAGCGGAGCGUGUGGUUUAAUUCGAAGCAACGCGAAGUACCUUACCAGGGCUUGACAUGCAGUCGCACCGUCCAGAGAUGGGCGUGCCUGCAAGGGACGGCUGUACAGGUGCUGCAUGGCUGUCGUCAGCUCGUGUCGUGAGAUGUUGGGUUUAAAGUCCCGCAACGAGCGCAACCCCUAUCGUUAGUUACAUUUCUAACGAGACUGCCCCGACUAAAGGGGAGGAAGGUGGGGAUGACGUCAAGUCAGCAUGGCCCUGACGUCCUGGGCGACACACACGCUACAAUGGCCGGUACAAUGGGAAGCCAGCCCGCGAGGGGGUAGCCAAGCUCAGCAAACCCGGGUCUCAGUUCGGAUUGCAGGCUGCAACCCCGGCU